CAGUAGCCGCGGUAAUACAGAGGGUGCGAGCGUUAAUCGGAUUUACUGGGCGUAAAGCGUGCGUAGGCGGCUUUUUAAGUCGGAUGUGAAAUCCCUGAGCUUAACUUAGGAAUUGCAUUCGAUACUGGGAAGCUAGAGUAUGGGAGAGGAUGGUAGAAUUCCAGGUGUAGCGGUGAAAUGCGUAGAGAUCUGGAGGAAUACCGAUGGCGAAGGCAGCCAUCUGGCCUAAUACUGACGCUGAGGUACGAAAGCAUGGGGAGCAAACAGGAUUAGAUACCCCCGUAGUCCCUGUCUCUUAUAC
This 301-nucleotide ribosomal RNA is filed under the name uncultured bacterium. RNAcentral's name for it is "partial 16S ribosomal RNA". It matches the Rfam family "Bacterial small subunit ribosomal RNA", at positions 509 to 807 of the family's 1533-position model. The record is from RNAcentral.